RNAcentral lists this ribosomal RNA (253 nucleotides) under uncultured bacterium. RNAcentral's name for it is "partial 16S ribosomal RNA". It matches the Rfam family "Bacterial small subunit ribosomal RNA", at positions 524 to 776 of the family's 1533-position model. The record is from RNAcentral.
UACGGGGGGAGCAAGCGUUGUUCGGAUUUAUUGGGCGUAAAGAGCGUGUAGGCGGCCAGACAAGUCUGCUGUGAAAACUCGAGGCUCAACCUCGAGCUGUCGGUGGAAACUGUCUGGCUAGAGUCCGGAAGAGGAGAGUGGAAUUCCUGGUGUAGCGGUGAAAUGCGCAGAUAUCAGGAAGAACACCUAUGGCGAAGGCAGCUCUCUGGGACGGUACUGACGCUGAGACGCGAAAGCGUGGGGAGCGAACAGG